GGGAAACUUACCAGGUCCAGACAUAGUAAGGAUUGACAGAUUGAUAGCUCUUUCUUGAUUUUAUGGGUGGUGGUGCAUGGCCGUUCUUAGUUCGUGGAGUGAUUUGUCUGCUUAAUUGCGUUAACGAACGAGACCUUAACCUGCUAAAUAGGAGUGCGUAUCUCCGGAUAUGCUCCUUUCUUCUUAGAGGGACUUUAUGCGUUUUAGCAUGAGGAAGUUUGAGGCUAAAA
RNAcentral lists this ribosomal RNA (230 nucleotides) under uncultured eukaryote. RNAcentral describes it as "partial 18S ribosomal RNA". It matches the Rfam family "Eukaryotic small subunit ribosomal RNA", at positions 1208 to 1456 of the family's 1831-position model. The record is from RNAcentral.